This is a long non-coding RNA of Equus caballus (horse), 2553 nucleotides long. Lineage: Eukaryota; Metazoa; Chordata; Mammalia; Perissodactyla; Equidae. The record is from Ensembl.
UGUGCUGGUAAACACCUUCCCUUCCCCCGGCUCCCAAAAAAGCCCUGGUUUAUAACAUUUGCCAAUUUCCUUGGUGUAACUACUUCCACCUUGGCUGAUUUCAAGAUACCAACUCGCUGGUAAAAUUCCUGAGUGUUGAACCAUCCUCUCAGGAGUUGGAGGAGCCAGCCCCAGCGCACCACUGGCUGAAAGUAAUCAUUCAAAUUGACUGGAGCAGUUCAGCCAGGAGUGUGUUCUGCCAGACUCAGUCUUGUUGCAGAGACAAGAUGUUCCCCCCUGAAUGAGAUAAUGCCCUGAGAUCUUGGACGAUGAAGUGCCAAAUCAGUGCACACAUUGGUUAGGCUUGGCGAGGAGAUUAACUUGGAGAUAUAUUGCUGGAUGAUAAGAGAGAAGAUUCUGGACCAUCAAGAGAUGACAGCUGAAUGGGGGACAGCUAUAUCAGGAAUAAAGCAUCUUAAACAUCAUGAAAAGCCAGGCACCUGCAGGCCAAGGACAACCAGUCGUAUUAGGAACAAUAGAACUGAGGCAACAGCCUCUGCGAGCCAACCAGAUUUUCUCCAAGAUGGAGACUCAGCCCAGCCAACAUUCUACCACAGAAGCGACUGACCUGGCCUGGGGGUCCACCAGCCCAACCACUGGGUGUAAAAUUCCAUGCUGCCUCCCUCUAGUGCUUCCCACUGGAAGAGCUGACAUGGAGCCAGCUGGCAAAGCUGGACUACGGUUCGCAGAGCUCAGCUCCAGCACGAGGCUGAGAACAGAAGACUUACUAGCCAUGAGUCCUGACACUUUCAGAGUUGGAGUUCUGGAAAUGAGAAGAGGCAAGGGGAGCAGGAAAGCUCUUGCCUGAUUGGCCUGGGCAUGGUGAUGUGGCGUCUGCUCUCUCUGGACUUGGCAGACGUUGAAAGCUGACUCUCACAGGCUCUUUUUGAUGAUCUUAACUCACAAUCACUGAGGAUCUCUUCCCUGAAGUUUGCUUCACAGGACAAAUGCUCUCUAUUCCAGCCACUCACUUACUCACUCAUUCCUUCCUCGGCCUCUAUGAAUGUGCUGAUACCUCAAGCUUCUCCCUGAGAAGACCUGUUUAUUCCUCCAUGCAGCCCUCUUGGACAGAUCCAAGACAAUCCCUCACUGCCAUAGCGGGUAGGGGGAAACUUCUCCUGUGCCCUCUUAUAUUCAGUGACCGAGGCCAGCAAAUUAAACUGACAAAGAAAAGAUUAACAGGAGAGUAGGUUUAUUUCAUAUGCAUACGCGGGACCUCACAGAAAAGAAGUGAAAAUCCCCCAAAGCAAUAAUGCCUGGGGGUUUAUGUACCAUUUUAACAAAGGACAACACAGUGUAGAGAAGAGUUAAAGGGGUUUGAGCUUCUGGGGUGGUGAAUUGGAGGAAGGUAAAUAUACAGGGGAACCUAAUGGAAGAUGAGGGUUAUUUUAGUAAGGCUUGUUAUGCAGAUUCAAGUCAGUGCCUCAGUGAUUAAGCAGGAGAGGGGAGGGGGCAUACCUUCACACAGGGAAAUGUACCCCUGCUUUCAGGCAGAAAGAGGGGGGCAGAGAGCUCCUUUUGUGUCUGCUGUUUCUUAAUUGCCUUCAGCUCAAAAUAGUCCUAACAUCAAAGUGGUGUAUUUUGGGGUGGCAUAUUCUGAUCCCCUUCACUGCCAACCCUAUCAUGGGUGAGACCCAUAUCUGGGCACGCACUCACGAAUCCUCUUGUGACAAAUUUGGGGCGCACAAGCUGUCAUGGCUACCUCCCCGAGACCUUCCCUUUCCUCCACAGUCAAAGCCAUAGCUAGCCCAUCACUUGUCCUUUAAGUUUGGCGGGAACUGGACACCUGUGCAGUGUGUCCCCUGAGCUACUAGGGACACAAAUGAAGCUCUUUCAGUGGGCAAGUUGAACCCCCUUUUCCUAAGCAUGCGACAAGGGCCCUGUACUCCCUUCGCUCUCCACGGGUGGGAGAGGGACUCACCGCGCACCAAAAACUUUGUUCCUGGCCGUUUUAUCACCAUGAAUGAGGGGUGCAGCCAUCACAAAGCUGGUUUCUCUGCUCCCUUUCCUCCAAAGCCUGCACGGGGGUCUGGGACCUCUUUUUGGAACGUGAUCUCCAUUGUCUUCAGGCCUUAGCAGAAACGCCUAUUCUAACAUCUCGUUACAUGUGUACAUUGAGAAAACUGAAUAAAGUAGCCAGGUUGCCCUAUUAUUCUAAAAGUAUCAAUAUUCUUAAAGCUACCAAACCUGAGUAAAAUGGCCAGAAUGGGUCUGUUUGGGUCUAUUAGGGACUAUUCAUGGCGGGGAGAGAUGCUGCAGACCUUACCCCAGGGCCUCGGAAUCAUCUUGCAAGUGAAAUCACUCAGCUGUUUCUAAUCCUGUGUAGAAGGAUCACAAACUCUGGGAGUGUUGGGGCCGGCCCAGUGGCAUAGUGCUUAAGUUUGCGCACUCCACUUCAGCAGCCCAGCGUUUGCAGGUUUGGAUCCUGGGUAUGGACCUACACACUGUUCAUCAGGGCGCACUGUGGCAGCAUCCCACAUAAAAUACAGGAAGAUUGCCACAGACUUUAGCUCA